GGCUUAGAGUUUGAUCCUGGCUCAGAUUGAACGCUGGCGGCAGGCCUAACACAUGCAAGUCGAGCGGUAGAGAGAAGCUUGCUUCUCUUGAGAGCGGCGGACGGGUGAGUAAUGCCUAGGAAUCUGCCUGGUAGUGGGGGAUAACGUUCGGAAACGGACGCUAAUACCGCAUACGUCCUACGGGAGAAAGCAGGGGACCUUCGGGCCUUGCGCUAUCAGAUGAGCCUAGGUCGGAUUAGCUAGUUGGUGAGGUAAUGGCUCACCAAGGCGACGAUCCGUAACUGGUCUGAGAGGAUGAUCAGUCACACUGGAACUGAGACACGGUCCAGACUCCUACGGGAGGCAGCAGUGGGGAAUAUUGGACAAUGGGCGAAAGCCUGAUCCAGCCAUGCCGCGUGUGUGAAGAAGGUCUUCGGAUUGUAAAGCACUUUAAGUUGGGAGGAAGGGCAGUUACCUAAUACGUUGAUUGUUUUGA
This 475-nucleotide ribosomal RNA is filed under the name uncultured bacterium. RNAcentral describes it as "SSU rRNA". It matches the Rfam family "Bacterial small subunit ribosomal RNA", at positions 1 to 481 of the family's 1533-position model. The record is from RNAcentral.